GAAUUUUCGAGAGAUUCGCUCCCCGUUCGUUCGCUGGCGGGGCUAGAAGAUGGACCCGUGCAGAGGGAACUCGGGAGUGCCUCGACAAACAGGUUCAGGCUCUCCCCUCCCUAGUAGAGAACACCCAGAUGCUGAUGUGCCGUACCGAAUCGUUCGCAGACGACUUACGUACCGGUCAGGGUGCUGUUGGCGGCAGAGCAGCACCCUCACUGCGAUCCGUUAAGACUCCUCCCUAACAAGGCUGGAGGUUUCGU
Eriocheir sinensis (Chinese mitten crab) is the source of this 254-nucleotide long non-coding RNA. RefSeq lists it as uncharacterized. The transcript has 2 exons. NCBI's taxonomy places the organism in Eukaryota, Metazoa, Arthropoda, Malacostraca, Decapoda, Varunidae. The record is from RefSeq and is a predicted model, not a curated record.